GUGACCCAACUCCUAGGCCUAAGAGGGCUUUGAGUCCUCCGUUAAAGAGGGCAGCCCUCAGCCUAACAGAGUUCUCAAUUUGAAGGAUUAUUGGGGUCAAGUCUGAUAAGAUAAAUAAAGAUAAAGAUAAAUAAUCACCUGAGCAGCAGACUGAGCAGCCGAGCAGGUCACCUGUUUAGUCUUCUCCAUUAUGCAAUAUGUAACCUGCCACGCUUCUUAGAUCGUAAUCCCAUAUGUGUCUACUCAGAAGUGAAUCCCAUUGAGACAUACUCCCAGGGUACAUACAGUAAUAUUUCCAGACAGUCAGCACAAUGGAUAGCUCCCUGUGUCAAUCCUCUGAUCGAAGAAAAAUUGCAAUAAUUAUUCUUUCACGGCUAAUGCAGA
Molecule: long non-coding RNA, 384 nt
Organism: Lacerta agilis (Sand lizard)
Lineage: Eukaryota; Metazoa; Chordata; Lepidosauria; Squamata; Lacertidae
Exons: 3
Source: RefSeq, a predicted model, not a curated record